GCUACCGCUAUUGGAAUCCGAUUAAGCCAUGCGAGUCGAGAGAUUUCGGAUCUCGGCAGACGUCUCAGUAACACGUGGAUAAUCUACCCUUGAGUGGGGGAUAAGCUUGGAAACCUGAGUAUAAUACCCCAUAGGCCUAGGAUGCUGGAAUGCUUCUAGGCUGAAAGCUCCGGCGCUCGAGGAUGAAUCUGCGGCCUAUCAGGCUGUAGUGGGUGUAACGGACCCACUAACCUUCGACGGGUACGGGCCUUGAGAGAGGUUGCCCGGAGUUGGACUCUGAGACACGAGUCCAGGCCCUACGGGGUGCAGCAGGCGCGAUAACUUCACAAUGUGGGAAACCACGAUGAGGGGAUUCCAAGUGCCAGCACAAUGUGUUGGCUGUUCACUUGCCUAAAAAGCUGGUGAAGUAAGGGCCGGGUAAGACGGGUGCCAGCCGCCGCGGUAAUACCCGCGGCCCGAGUGGUGGCCAUUGUUAUUGAGCCUAAAGCGUCGUAGCCGGUUUCGUAAAUUUCUGGGUAAAUCGGACAGCUUAACUGUCCGAAUUCCGGAAAGACUGCGAAACUUGGGACCGGAGGAGGUUGGAGGUACUCCUGGGGUAGGGGUGAAAUCCUGUAAUCCUGGGGGGACCACCAGUGGCGAAGGCGUCCAACCAAGACGGCUCCGACGGUAAGGGACGAAGCCCUGGGGCGCAAACGGGAUUAGAUACCCCGGUAGUCCAGGGUGUAAACGCUGCAGGCUUGGUGUUGGGGGUCCUACGAGGGCGCCCAGUGCCGGAGAGGAGUUGUUAAGCCUGCCGCUUGGGGAGUACGUCCGCAAGGAUGAAACUUAAAGGAAUUGGCGGGGGAGCACAGCAACGGGUGGAGCGUGCGGUUCAAUUGGAUUCA
Molecule: ribosomal RNA, 884 nt
Filed under: uncultured archaeon
Lineage: Archaea
Description: bacterial SSU rRNA
Rfam family: Archaeal small subunit ribosomal RNA
Source: RNAcentral